RNAcentral lists this ribosomal RNA (413 nucleotides) under uncultured bacterium. Its description in RNAcentral is "bacterial SSU rRNA". It matches the Rfam family "Bacterial small subunit ribosomal RNA", at positions 505 to 916 of the family's 1533-position model. The record is from RNAcentral.
GUGUCAGCCGCCGCGGUAACACGUAGGGCGCAAGCGUUGUCCGGAAUUAUUGGGCGUAAAGAGCUCGUAGGCGGUCUGUUGCGUCCGCUGUGAAAACUCGGGGCUUAACCCCGAGCCUGCAGUGGAUACGGGCAGACUAGAGGUAGGUAGGGGAGAAUGGAAUUCCCGGUGUAGCGGUGAAAUGCGCAGAUAUCGGGAGGAACACCAGUGGCGAAGGCGGAGACCUGGGCCGAUACUGACGCCGAGGUGCGAAAGCGUGGGGAGCAAACAGGAUUAGAUACCCUGGUAGUCCACGCCGUAAACGUUGGGCGCUAGGUGUGGGGUCCUUCCACGGAUUCCGUGCCGCAGCUAACGCAUUAAGCGCCCCGCCUGGGGAGUACGGCCGCAAGGCUAAAACUCAAAGGAAUUGACGG